This 31-nucleotide non-coding RNA is filed under the name Rattus norvegicus (Norway rat). The record is from RNAcentral. Lineage: Eukaryota; Metazoa; Chordata; Mammalia; Rodentia; Muridae.
UGGGUGCUCAGUUGUACCUUCUCGCACUGCC